RNAcentral lists this ribosomal RNA (384 nucleotides) under uncultured organism. RNAcentral describes it as "bacterial SSU rRNA". It matches the Rfam family "Bacterial small subunit ribosomal RNA", at positions 45 to 433 of the family's 1533-position model. The record is from RNAcentral.
UGCUUUACACAUGCAAGUCGAACGGAUUAAAGAGCUUGCUCUUUAGAUAGUGGCGAACGGGUGAGUAAUAUAUCGGAACAUAUCCGGAAGUGGGGGAUAACGUAGCGAAAGUUACGCUAAUACCGCAUAUGCCCUGAGGGGGAAAGCGGGGGAUCUUCGGACCUCGCGUUAUACGAGCGGCUGAUGCCGGAUUAGCUAGUUGGUGGGGUAAAGGCUCACCAAGGCGACGAUCCGUAGCUGGUCUGAGAGGACGACCAGCCACACUGGAACUGAGACACGGUCCAGACUCCUACGGGAGGCAGCAGUGGGGAAUUUUGGACAAUGGGGGCAACCCUGAUCCAGCCAUGCCGCGUGAGUGAAGAAGGCCUUCGGGUUGUAAAGCUC